RNAcentral lists this small nuclear RNA (313 nucleotides) under Castor canadensis (American beaver). RNAcentral describes it as "7SK RNA (ENSCCNG00000008799.1)". It matches the Rfam family "7SK RNA". From Rfam's summary of the family: 7SK was discovered as an abundant small nuclear RNA in the mid-70s but a possible function has only recently been suggested. Lineage: Eukaryota; Metazoa; Chordata; Mammalia; Rodentia; Castoridae. The record is from RNAcentral.
GGAUGUGAGGGCGAUCUGGCUGCGACAUCUGUCACCCCAUUGAUCGCCAGGGUUGAUUCGGCUGAUCUGGCUGGCUAGGCGGGUGUCCCCUUCCUCCCUCACCGCUCCAUGUGCGUCCCUCCCGAAGCUGCGCGCUCGGUCGAAGAGGACGACCAUCCCCGAUAGAGGAGGACCGUUCUUCGGUCAAGGGUAUACGAGUAGCUGCGCUCCCCUGCUAGAACCUCCAAACAAGCUCUCAAAAUACACUCAAGAAAUUUCAAGACACCAAAAAUAAAAAAAACAUGAGAUAACAGAGAAACAAAUAAAGGAACUC